RNAcentral lists this long non-coding RNA (630 nucleotides) under Felis catus (domestic cat). Its description in RNAcentral is "lncRNA (ENSFCAG00000043962.2)". Lineage: Eukaryota; Metazoa; Chordata; Mammalia; Carnivora; Felidae. The record is from RNAcentral.
GACCCGCUGUGGGGGAUUCUGGCGGACGUGGGCCCGUGUCCACACCGACAAGAACCCGGUCUCCUGAGGACCCGCUGUGGAGGCUUCGGGAGGAUGUGGGGCCGCGUCCACGCCGACAAGAACCCGUCUCCUCAAGACCCGCCGCGGGAGGAGCAGGCCGCUGCUGCGACGCCCAGCAGGGAGCCCAAAGCAAAGAGGGAUUCAGGAGCAGCCCAGCUACCGCUUGGUUCCCACAAAAUGGUCACCUUGGAACUCUUUAUGGAAGAGGAGAAAACACCACCACCAGCACCACCACUGUUUCAUAACCCUGCACUGAAUGUGGACACAACAACCAACAACCCCCAAGAGGAAACUCUGGCAGUGCUGGUGCGGAGUGAUGGAGGACAGCACGCUGGAGUAUCGCAGGUGGAAUUGUCACUGUGGCCAUGGGGGCAGUUACAGAGCCUGUCCAGGGUCAGUUUUGGGUGUCUGGAGUAUACGCAGGAAAUAGGAGAGGUUGAAAGCAAGAGAAAAACACCAGAAAACGUAUGACUUCAUGAGGCUUGCGUCUUCCCUCUACCUCUAUAGUCCAAGUUCGUGGAUGGCACUGGAAUUACAUCCUUAGCAUGUGCAUCAUAACCUCCAGGUGAG